UUACUUACCUGGCAAUGGAGAUACCGUGAUCAAGAAGGCGGUUCACCCAGGGCGAGGCUCUGCCAUUGCACUCCGGCUGUGCUGACCCUUGCGAAUUUCCCAAAUAUCUCGAUUGCAUAAAUUCUGGUAGUGGGGGAGGUUUCUACUGUAUCUUAC
Molecule: small nuclear RNA, 156 nt
Organism: Coregonus clupeaformis (lake whitefish)
Lineage: Eukaryota; Metazoa; Chordata; Actinopteri; Salmoniformes; Salmonidae
Product: U1 spliceosomal RNA
Exons: 1
Source: RefSeq, a predicted model, not a curated record